CCCUUAGAUGUCCUGGGCCGCACGCGCGCUACACUGAACGGAUCAGCGCGUUUUCCCUUCCCGAGAGGGACGGGUAACCUGCUGAACCCCGCUCGUGGUAGGGAUCGGGGCUUGCAAUUAUUCCCCGUGAACCAGGAAUGCCCAGUAAGUGCAAGUCAUAAGCUUGCGUUGAUUACGUCCCUGCCCUUUGUACACACCGCCCGUCGCUACUACCGAUUGAACGUUUUAGUGAGGUACUCGGACUGAGCCUCAGAAGAUUCACGUCUUUUGUGCUGCUCGGGAAGAUUCCCAAACUUGAGCGUUUAGAGGAAGUAAAAGUCGUAACA
This 326-nucleotide ribosomal RNA is filed under the name uncultured eukaryote. Its description in RNAcentral is "partial 18S ribosomal RNA". It matches the Rfam family "Eukaryotic small subunit ribosomal RNA", at positions 1470 to 1796 of the family's 1831-position model. The record is from RNAcentral.